Molecule: ribosomal RNA, 253 nt
Filed under: uncultured bacterium
Lineage: Bacteria
Description: partial 16S ribosomal RNA
Rfam family: Bacterial small subunit ribosomal RNA
Source: RNAcentral
GACGAACCACACGAACGUUAUUCGGAAUUACUGGGCUUAAAGGGUGCGUAGGCGGCGCGGUAAGUAGGGUGUGAAAUCCCUCGGCUCAACCGAGGAACUGCGCUCUAAACUACCGUGCUCGAGGGAGAUAGAGGUGAGCGGAACUUAGGGUGGAGCGGUGAAAUGCGUUGAUAUCCUAAGGAACACCGGUGGCGAAAGCGGCUCACUGGAUCUCUUCUGACGCUGAGGCACGAAAGCGUGGGGAGCGAACAGG